GUCCCGAAGGCUUCCUUACCGCUUUUUCACUGUGGUCUUAAUCCAUCAUGUUAGUCCUUACCCAGAGGUCCCCUGAAUCUUGAGCCUGGGGCCAUAGGUCUCCAUCUGUUGCUUCAGAGCCUUGUGCAAGCUAUUUGAGCAUGCUUUUGAAGGUGCCAGCACUUGAGAGAAUCAUUUCUUCCCCUUUCUUUACAGACCUGUCUACCUCCAUUUCCUGCACCCAGCCUCUUGGGAUAUACACAUCUUUGAACAGCAUCACUCUGGUCUCCUCCACGCAGACGAACUCCCCGGCUCAACUUCAUUAAUGAUGUCCUCGCGCAGUUCGAAUUGAGUGCCCAAGCCAGGAGGCUUCCAGAAACCAAGGCAGUGGUAUGGAUGGCAGCUUCAGCACUGAAGAAACCAGAUGUUUCCAAGGCAUUUCUGUUGUUAGAUUUGACCAGCUUUGGGUUUAUCAUGAGAGGUCAACCUGCACACCUGAGGAAUAAGAAUUGUCUCCUCUUCCUUGGCUGCGCACCACCAUGAUCACCAAAUAAAACAACUACUCAACAAAAAGCUAUGGAAAAA
This 564-nucleotide long non-coding RNA is filed under the name Ursus maritimus (polar bear). RNAcentral describes it as "lncRNA (ENSUMAG00000019532.1)". The record is from RNAcentral. Lineage: Eukaryota; Metazoa; Chordata; Mammalia; Carnivora; Ursidae.